Eucalyptus grandis is the source of this 3150-nucleotide long non-coding RNA. RefSeq lists it as uncharacterized. The transcript has 4 exons. NCBI's taxonomy places the organism in Eukaryota, Viridiplantae, Streptophyta, Magnoliopsida, Myrtales, Myrtaceae. The record is from RefSeq and is a predicted model, not a curated record.
AUCCCGUUGAAGAGGAAGAGAGAAUAUUCGGCGCUCGUAUCCGGAUCAAACCAAAGAGAAACAGCAUCAAGAUUCAUCUGAACUUCGUCCUUUCACCAGCUCCUCGUCCUCCUCCUCCUUCUGCAUCCCGAAGCUUCGCUACUUCCCUGUAAGCUCUUCGCCCCUCGAUUCGUUCGUUGGACUCGAGCUGAAAACGGACGGCCAUGUCGAGUGUUUCGUCCGUUGACUCGCUGUCUGACCCGCUGGAGAAUGUCUGCGUCAGCAUAUGCUGGUCGGUGCCGGGCCAUGUUGCUCCGCUGAUGUCGCGCUUCCGCUCGCGUUCGAAUCGUGGGGCGACUAGAAUUCGUGAUCACUGGAUGAUGUCGUCAUGAAAUUACCUGCAACCAAAAGGCAGAAAUGGGAACAUUGUAGGCCCUCAAUUCAUCCCACACAUGGCGAACCAUGUCUGUGCCACCCUGCAUACCAAUUACAGCUCCAGAUAUGAUCCAUUCAGGCAGCUCAGGGGGCCUCCCAAUAGUCCCUGUGAAGUGCUCAAGGAGCUCAGUGGCAUGUGCAGGAAUUCAAGCUAACAUCAAAAGCUUUGAACUGCAUGUUUUGCUUGUCACUUCAACAAUUCUCCUUGAUAGUCCCAGCAGAGCUCAACUAUUCCCACCUUCAACAAUAUCUGCAGUGGUGAACGAGAAAGUUGCAGACAUCGGUUAUCAAGAGGUACCUGUAUCUGGACUCUGUCAUGUCUUGUUAGAUCGAAAAUGGAAUAGUUGUAUCCUUCAAGAUAAAGAGAUCUCAUCUUUGAUGUCAUGUAGAACGGUGAAGGAGCAUAAGUGGUACUCCAAUCACCCCCAGCCCUGCAAAAGAAGUGAAAUGUUCCAAUUAUAUCCAUCUGUGAUCAGUGAAUUCACGACAGAGCUUAAUGCUACCAACCUGUGGCUAACCAAAUUAGCUGCGAAAGUUAUUGGCUGAUCACCUCGUCCAAUGCCCUGUUCUUGUACGAAAAUUGGCACCCUUCGGCCUUUAAAAUUCAUGUGAGAGAACUGCUCCCCGAAACCGUAGAAUUUUUCACUUUUUUCGCUGGAAUAAGUGAGACAAAUCCUGUUAAAUUCUGUGGACUCUGGAGGCUUCACUCCGACUAUUUCGUCCUCAGCAGAGGAAACCGCAACAUAAUUUCUUGGCCUCCGAAAGGACCACCACCAUCCGAGUUUCUUCUUCCGAAGCUGGCACAGCUUCAGUCUUAAGACCUGACGCCUUCUUAGACCAGCCGGAGAAAUUGCCUGGCUGAGGUUGAAGUUGGGUUUGCCCAGCCUCACCUGAAACCCAACUUGGUGACUGCUUUUCUGACCAAAGAAAACCCAGUAUCUUGCAUAAGUGCAAUCCUUUCCUAGCGUCAUUUUCUUACUCAAGCUGGAGUCUUGAGGGCGCUUCUUUUUCAUACUAAAGAUCCUGCCAGUUAUCAUCAGGACAGGGAACUCUGUUUUCUUCACAUCAUUCUGAUCAAAUCCUACACAUCCCGAAGGGAAAUCAGGAUCGGUGGCAUGCAAGAAACUGUCCAAAUGAUCGAUCACCCUUAUGUCUUCGAUGGUUUGAUGAUCACAGACCAAACGGACUUCUCUGUCCUUGAUGACAAAUGAUCCUCUGCUUUCUUGAAUCUCUGUUUCGGCCAAAGCCCCGGAAACAAAGGCUUGUCCGGGGAUGGUGGACCAUAAGGAUUUGUCGGGCUGCAGUCGGUGAGAAACUGAGAGAAAGCCUCCAUUUCUUGACUGCCAAGUGAGCCGAAAAUCUUUCCCGAUUGGGAAGGUCUGGUGUGUCGCCAAUGUCAGGGACUCGGAGAACAGAGUCCCCUGAACGAAAGGCAGGGACUUUGGAGCGGAAGGGAAGGGGUUGUUGAGGUGCCUGUGGUGCUUUUUGGUGAUUUUGAGGCUCGACAUUCUCUAGGGAAGUCGAACAAACAAGGAAAUAGAAUCGAUGGAUUCUCGGGUGUUAUAUAUACAGGGUUGGGAAGGAAAUUUCAACCAAGAUUCGUAUUUUCAGUUGCCGGGCGAAUGGUUUUAUCUAGAAUUUGUCCCACGUUCUGUUCUUGGAUGCAGAGUGGGGACCGAAAGUGCUGACUCUGGAUGUGGAUGAGCUCUUGGGGGAAGAAUGGGAAAAGUCGCUUUUGACUCUGAUGGGCACGCCAGUAAAUGUGCCAGCUGACCUCCCCCUUUGCCACGGCGGUCUGCCCCGUAUUUAUGCGCAAUUAUGGCCCUGCCCGUUUUCAGUCUUUACCCCAGCUGGUGGAUUCUUGAUGUUAAAGAGAGAGAGAGAGAGAGAGAGAUCGUCUUUUUGGAGGAUGAAAAUGAUGAUGGAGAUGCUAAAAGGGGUUUGUGGAACGCCACUGUGGACUCCUUUUGGUGUUUGAACAGAUCAAAUUUUGCGUUGACGCGAUCAAUUCUAGCGUUGGAGAGUAAAAGUGCCUAUCUGGUGUUGCGUGAGAGGUGUAUCUUGUCCACAAGUUUAGAUUUUCUUGGCGACCCGCCCCGAUACUCCACAUGGACAUUGAAUCGGUGCCAUGUUUAAGGGCAUCGUAACAGCAAAAAAUCCUUACGUUCAUGGAGGAGAUAGCCGGGGAGGGUUCACAGGCCACCUCGUUGUUUCUGGGGAAAACCCAAGAAUUGUCUGGAAACAUCACUGUAGCAAAACAUCGUAGGACCGCGACCGGGACCGGGUCGUCUUGUGGACCGUCAAAAUGGCCUGCUGAAACGCGUUUCGCCGGAAGGUCAAACGGAGGUCCCGAACCUCUGGCGUCCGUGGGAUUAAACGAUCUUUUUCAGGUCGUCUCUUUUUGGUAUCCAGCCGUGUAAGGUGGGGUUGUCACCGAUUGGAAAGCAAACUGAAGAGGCGUUUUCCAAUUGUCCGGUCAUAUUCUAGAAAAGUCGAAUUUCUUCUCGAGUCUCCACUGAAGACAGGCACGUGAAGAACAGGAACGGGGGUCGCGUUUUUCUUCGAUGGGUUUUGUCAAAAAAAUGAUUCCGCAUUAGUCGGUCCCUUCUGACAUGCGCCGGCCGGUGAAUCUCGACGUUUUUCGAGGCAUCAUUCGCCUUCACGUGGGCAGCUGCGAAAUCGUUUUUUUUUGUUUUGGUCUGAAUCUGCUUGCAAUGCUGAAGGUGAACCUGGACA